UAAAUCCUUAUUAUUCUAAACUGUCAUUUCUCAAACUUUAUCUUGCAUAGGAAUCAUCUGGAAGAUGUGUUAAAACAAAAAACCAGACUGCACAGUCCCACCACCAGAUUGAGUCAGACCUGAGAAUCUGCAUUUUUAACAAGGUCCAGAUCAUGCUGCCACUGACAAGGGAUCACACUUUGUGAACCACCGACCUCACCUAGUUAUGGACCAAGAUUAACAUUCAUGAAGCAAACGGAAGAGGAAUCAAGUGCAUCUAAGCAUAUAUCUGAAUUGGAAACUGAAUUAAAAUAAGAGAGAGAGAAGAAAGAUGAAAGGCAUGGAAGGGAAAGGAGGAAGAAACAAGGAAGAGGAAGAGAAAUAAGAUUUCAGAUUGCAGUUAAAGUAAUGGAACCCUGUGGCUGCCAGUUGGUGCACCAGCUUUCUGAAUCUCAAUUUCUGGUAUUGGCCAAGUGAAGUCUGAUGGCAUACUGCUGUAAGGACUAAAGCAUAAACACAAAGAAAAGAAACGCCUCUGACCCAGCCUCCCAUACUGAAGCCAUGACUGUAAGUAAGACUUCAGACAAGACACCCCAAUAACUCAAUAGAUUCAUUGUUAUUAUUCUUAGUCUGCAUCUGGAGCCACAGAGGUUUAGAGGCAUUAAACAAACAUUUCAAGGUCACAGAGCUGAUAGCUGUCAAAACCAAAACUUAAA
Molecule: long non-coding RNA, 695 nt
Filed under: Macaca nemestrina (pig-tailed macaque)
Lineage: Eukaryota; Metazoa; Chordata; Mammalia; Primates; Cercopithecidae
Description: lncRNA (ENSMNEG00000045974.1)
Source: RNAcentral